RNAcentral lists this unclassified non-coding RNA (376 nucleotides) under soil metagenome. RNAcentral describes it as "partial contains 5.8S ribosomal RNA, internal transcribed spacer 2, and large subunit ribosomal RNA". The stretch from base 1 to 120 matches the Rfam family "5.8S ribosomal RNA", at positions 35 to 154 of the family's 154-position model. The record is from RNAcentral.
GAUGAAGAACGUAGCGAAAUGCGAUAAGUAAUGUGAAUUGCAGAAUUCAGUGAAUCAUCGAAUCUUUGAACGCAUCUUGCGCUCCUUGGUAUUCUGAGGAGCAUGCCUGUUUGAGUGUCAUUAAAUUCUCAACUACACUGACUUUGAAUUGGUGUGGCUUGGAUUUGGGGGGAAAAUUGUUGUGGGCUUUUUAUAUAGUCUGCUCCCCUGAAAUUGAUUAGCGGUACCUUUGUGGAACUGUCUACAGGUGUGAUAAUUAUCUACAUCUUAGACAUCUGCUGGAAUGCUGCUUUCUAAACCUUACUUGUAUUGACAAUCUUGACCUCAAAUCAGGUAGGACUACCCGCUGAACUUAAGCAUAUCAAUAAGCGGAGGA